Molecule: unclassified non-coding RNA, 2162 nt
Filed under: Leishmania donovani
Lineage: Eukaryota; Euglenozoa; Kinetoplastea; Trypanosomatida; Trypanosomatidae
Description: gene:LdHU3.30.4400(CDS-product:Ankyrin_repeats_(3 _copies)/Ankyrin_repeats_(many_copies)/Ankyrin_repeat_putat ive)
Source: RNAcentral
UGCAUCUCUUUGUUCGUUUGCUUCACGACUAAACUCGCUGGCAUUUUCAGUCGUCGCGUUUCUCUCUGCCCCUCUCUCUGCGGGUGGUAUUGUGCCCCUUCCUACAUACUGCAGGAACAGAAAAGCGGUCUCACUGGCGUCCUUGCACACCAGAGGAGCCGCCGCCACACCCCCAGGAACACUUCCCACCCACCACUAUUCCACAUCAGAAGCAACACGCUGAGGCACCCCCACGCGCAAGGAGAGUCUAAAUGAAUUUCGGCGUCAUUGGUGGGCAGCAGGGUCCCAAGGCGCUCCUAGAUGCGGUGCAGCAGGCGGUCCGCGACGGCAACCUUGAAGCUCUCCGUCGUCUCUCCAAAGAGUUCCUUGCAAUUAGCGACAACGUAGAGAAGUGCCGAGACGAAAAUGGCAACACUAUCGUCCACCUUGCCCUGGGCAAGAACACCACUACACUCGAGUACGUCAUCGAGUCACUCCACGCGAACGUCAACGCCACAAAUGCGCAGGGGCGCACUCCUUUGCAUGAGGCAGUGACACGGGACUACAUAGCGUGCUGUCAGGUGCUCCUCGAUCACGGCGCAGACGACACCAUUCAGUCCACGACGCAGUCCACUCCUUUUCACACGGCAGCGGCGUGUGGAAGUAUCGAGGGCAUGGAGGUGAUUCUCCGCCACAGCGACAAUCCGGAGGUGAAGGUGAACGAGUUAGACCGGAAGCGUAGUUCUGCCCUGCACAAGUGCGCAUUUGACGGAGACGUGCGAGUGAGCCGGUGGCUGGUCGAGCACGGCGCCAACGUCGAUGCGGCCGACUCCACAGAUGCGACGCCACUCCUCAUAGCCGUGAAGAUGGGCCAGACAGAGGUGGCGGAGUACCUCUUGCGAAACGGGGCGGACUGCAACCGGCAAGACCGGCAGGGCAACAGUGGCUUGCACUUCUGUGCCGUUCGCGGCGAUGUCAAGGCAGCCCAGCUGCUCCUCGCCGCUGGGGCGAACCCAUGCUUGCUCAACGAGGAGUACGAUACUCCACUGCACAUCAUUGCCCGAAACUCGCGCCUUGACUCCGGGGCUUGGGAGAUGGUGGGAUUGCUGCUCAUGGCCGGCUGCGACCCGCUGCAGGUCAACGCGUCCAACAAGAAGCCGAGCGACUACGUCAGUCGCGGACUGAAGAAGAUGUUCACCAAGGAAGAAGUCGAGCAGCGGCUGCGCAGGGAGGCGCAGCUGCAGGAAGAGAGCGACGCCGAGCUCUCCAGGGCGUGGGAGCAGUGCGCGCAGUGGAAAACCAAAGUGCUUGAGAACAUCUCCUCACGGCGCCUCGUGGAGGCAGCGGAGGACGCGCGGCUGGCGCGGGAGAAGGAGGAGCGCAUUCGCGCCGCCAACGACGCUAGAAUGACAUAUGACGAGGCGCUCGCGAAGUGCCAGUUCUUGGAGGCGGAGAUACAGCGGAAAAAGGCAAUGCUAGAGAAGACGCUCACAAAAUCCGGGCGUUAGGGCGUUGCAAUCUCUCGCCCUCCCUCGCACUCCUUCUUACCUUUUUCACCGCUUCUCUGCCAUGUGUUUUUGCUCUUCGAGGGGGGGGGACGGAGGUUGGGGAGAGAGUGGAGAGGGGACUAGUGUGUCCUUCCGACGCGUUCCUCCUCCGUUUUUUUUUCGUGUUGUAUCUUUUGCUGCUUCUUUCCCCUCGCUACCGCCCCCCGAACUCACCCAAGAUGUACAGUACGCGCCGCGAGAACAUCGGCAAAACCGCCCUGCAACAACAGGAUGGCUUGCGUGCGACCCUACAAGAAACGAAAAAGACAUCAACAACAGCAACGAGAUGCGCGACGACUAGAGCUGCUUGGACGUGCUGCCUGUCUCGACGGCUAUGCUGUCGAGGUACUUCGCCUACUUUUGCGUUCACGCCCAGCUUGAUCUUGUAACCUCCUCGCCGACCUCAUCGCAUCAUGUGGCGUCAACAGCUGAGCGAGACGAAACCUCAAGAAAAGAGGGAGGGGGCUGCAUCCGUUGCGCGACGUGCGUGAGCUCUGAAUGUCGGACCACAUGGAGGAAUGCUAUGGAACGCCUUUCCCCGUCUCUCUCUGGUCCCGUGAGUGUAUCCUCUCUACUUCACUCCCCCACUCUCACUUGCGCUCUUUGACACUACUCAACGAGGUAAUACACGAAAAG